AGAGUUUGAUCCUGGCUCAGGAUGAACGCUGGCGGCGUGCCUAACACAUGCAAGUCGAGCGGUAUAUACCUUAUCAAAUCUUCGGAAGAGAGACGGUAUAGAGAGCGGCGGACGGGUGAGUAACGCGUAGGCAACCUGCCCCAUACAGAGGGAUAGCCUCGGGAAACCGGGAUUAAAACCUCAUAACGCCAAGAGUUCACAUGGACUUUUGGCCAAAGAUUUAUCGGUAUGGGAUGGGCCUGCGUCUGAUUAGCUAGUUGGUGGGGUAACGGCCUACCAAGGCAACGAUCAGUAGCCGACCUGAGAGGGUAAUCGGCCACAUUGGAACUGAGACACGGUCCAAACUCCUACGGGAGGCAGCAGUGGGGAAUAUUGCACAAUGGGCGAAAGCCUGAUGCAGCAACGCCGCGUGAGCGAUGAAGGCCUUUGGGUCGUAAAGCUCUGUCCUUGGGGAAGAAAAAAAUGACGGUAUUGGAGGAAGCCCCGGCUAACUACGUGCCAGCAGCCGCGGUAAUACGUAGGGGGCAAGCGUUAUCCGGAAUUAUUGGGCGUAAAGAGUGCGUAGGUGGUUUUAUAAGCGUGAGGUGAAAGGCAAUGGCUCAACUAUUGUAAGCCUUGUGAACUGUAAGACUUGAGUGCAGGAGAGGAAAGUGGAAUUCCUAGUGUAGCGGUGAAAUGCGUAGAUAUUAGGAGGAACACCAGUGGCGAAGGCGACUUUCUGGACUGUAACUGACACUGAGGCACGAAAGCGUGGGGAGCAAACAGGAUUAGAUACCCUGGUAGUCCACGCCGUAAACGAUGAGCACUAGGUGUCGGGGCCGCAAGGUUUCGGUGCCGCAGUUAACGCAUUAAGUGCUCCGCCUGGGGAGUACGCACGCAAGUGUGAAACUCAAAGGAAUUGACGGGGACCCGCACAAGCAGCGGAGCAUGUGGUUUAAUUCGAAGCAACGCGAAGAACCUUACCAGGACUUGACAUCCCUCUGACCGCUCUCUAACAGGAGCUUCCCUUCGGGGCAGAGGUGACAGGUGGUGCAUGGUUGUCGUCAGCUCGUGUCGUGAGAUGUUGGGUUAAGUCCCGCAACGAGCGCAACCCUUGUCAUUAGUUGCCACAGUUCGGCUGGGCACUCUAGUGAGACUGCCGGGGAUAACUCGGAGGAAGGUGGGGAUGACGUCAAAUCAUCAUGCCCCUUAUGUUCUGGGCUACACACGUGCUACAAUGGCUGGUACAAAGGGCAGCGAAGCCGCGAGGUGGGGCAAUCCCAGAAAGCCGGUCUCAGUUCGGAUUGCAGGCUGCAACUCGCCUGCAUGAAGUCGGAAUCGCUAGUAAUCGCAGGUCAGCAUACUGCGGUGAAUACGUUCCCGGGCCUUGUACACACCGCCCGUCACACAACGAAAGUU
RNAcentral lists this ribosomal RNA (1398 nucleotides) under uncultured bacterium. Its description in RNAcentral is "16S ribosomal RNA". It matches the Rfam family "Bacterial small subunit ribosomal RNA". The record is from RNAcentral.